RNAcentral lists this ribosomal RNA (254 nucleotides) under uncultured bacterium. Its description in RNAcentral is "partial 16S ribosomal RNA". It matches the Rfam family "Bacterial small subunit ribosomal RNA", at positions 524 to 776 of the family's 1533-position model. The record is from RNAcentral.
CACGUAGGGUGCGAGCGUUGUCCGGAAUUAUUGGGCGUAAAGAGCGCGUAGGCGGUGUGUCGCGUCGGCCGUGAAAACCUGCAGCUUAACUGUGGGCGUGCGGUCGAUACGGGCAUCACUGGAGUUCGGCAGGGGAGACUGGAAUUCCUGGUGUAGCGGUGAAAUGCGCAGAUAUCAGGAGGAACACCGGUGGCGAAGGCGGGUCUCUGGGCCGAUACUGACGCUGAGGAGCGAAAGCGUGGGGGGCAAACAGG